Long non-coding RNA from Bombus pyrosoma, 2146 nucleotides. RefSeq lists it as uncharacterized. The transcript is spliced from 4 exons. The record is from RefSeq and is a predicted model, not a curated record. NCBI's taxonomy places the organism in Eukaryota, Metazoa, Arthropoda, Insecta, Hymenoptera, Apidae.
UAAGGUUAUUUUUAUCGUCACUUACAGCCUUAUCGUCACUACCAGCAGGCCGCGACAAUGACGUGCAUAGCAACUUCAAAGCGAAAGGAAUACACAUCACUGAUUCAUGCUAUUUCAUCGUGUAAUGAGGAAUAUUAUAAAAUUGCUAAUCGCAAGAGGAGAGAGGAACAGAAAUGCAAAAAUACAUUGCAACGUAACGUAUUCACGAUGAAUAAUGAACUGAUAUGCGUUGGCAAAUAAAUAAAUAUUUCGCCAUGAACACACCAUCGCUAGAUGUGCCAACGUUCCUUUCGUUCGUCACAUGACACGUAACCCACGCGGCGCUCGCCAGUUUCGCCCGCUGGAACGUAUUAAAUCUCUCGUGACAAUGACGUUUGCAUUUCUGAAGUGCUGACGCGACCCAUACAGGCCGUCGGGCGUGUACUCGAAACAAGGGUACAUCGUUUUCACGACGACGCGCGACGCCGUGUUUUUUUUUUUUUUUUUGCCCGCGCUACUCGCUGGCGUAUACGAGCUUGCGAUAUGGGGAACAGAGACACUUGACACCGGCUGUUUGCUCGAACACGCGACAAACAUGAAAAAAUAUAUAUAUGACGAAAACCACCGAUCGCCAGACACGUUAUCAACGGAACAAAUCCAACGGUAACGCGAACUGUCCCAACGAGCAUGACUUUCGACGUUUAAAUUGUCCCGCCAAUAGCCUCGAGAUGGUCCAUCUACAGACACGCUUACUGUGUUUCGUUUAUGAUCAAAAUUCCACGAUAUACUUGCCAAGAGUGAUAAUACAGAGAAGUAGAGUAUUUCGUUGAAUAUAUGGCGCGCCCAGGAAAUGGAUAAAUUGAAUCGGUAUAAAGGAAUGAAGGAGAAUGAAAGAUAAAGAAAACGACUGAAACGUUUGUAAACGAUGAUUGAAUAAAUGAACGUUUAUAGCCUGUGUAAAGGAGCUGGAUAGUAUCCGUGGCCAAUCUUGAUAAUACAAGAAAACGAUUACUCCAACGUAUUGCGCGCAGCUCGGCGAUCGAAUAAGGACUGUUGCGACCGGAUAUCCGCCUACAGUUACAACAUGAGAUCGGAAGCAAACGCGCUAACACGAUUUUACUCGCGCGAGCACACGUUGCGUGCCCAACGAUAAGGUUUUCCCAACUUUAUCUCUGGAACGGUGGAUUCGUUCGGGGCGACAGACUGGAGCAGAAUGGAUGAGCCUGCAAACGCAUGGCCAUGGUCAACCCCUGGUCGUAAUAUCGCGCCACAGGGAAUACGAGGGUGGAGAGACUGCACGGACUGAUUUCUCCAGCCAUGCCAGUGAGCACGCCAGUCGAUGUUUAGGAUCUCGGAAUUGUUCCAGCUAGCGGUGGACGUUCGAUGCCCCCCGAGUUCUUGAACCAUUCGACGUUGCAAGCAUUGGAAUGCUUCUGAAUAUUUUAAAUUACGUAGAGGAGGAUGCACGAUCAUUCGAUUUCAGAUAUUCGUACUGAUAAAGAUUUGUAAUUAGUCGUUGGAUAAUCAGAUUCUUUUGAUGGAUAAACUUAUUCGAAUAAUCUGUGAAACAUCGAAAACAACAAUCAAGAUACGAAGCAAUAUUCAAUAGUCUGCAUAAAUUUCAAACGACCUUAUUUUAUCAUAAACUUCGGGCACGAUAAAUACAUUUCGUGGCGUCCCGAGUCUAUCGCUAUCUGUAGAAGGGCGAAUGCGCGUUACAACACGAAUCUAUCUUGCCCUUUUUUCCCCACUUUUUCUCGUUAUUUCUUGCCUCGCCGAUUCUCUAGCAGCCAUGAAAUCUGACAGCCGUAGGCCGUAAACGCGCCACGACUGCUUAUUAAAGGGAACCGGCUCGCUUUAUUUCGCGAAGGGAAACAAGAGACAGAGUAAAUAUGUCGGCUGGAUGUGUGUCCACGUUGUCGCGGAAACGCGGCGGGCGUCCUUUGAGUGCCUCUUACGGACGGUGCCUGUUGACGCCUCGUUUGCUCUGUGAUUGAACGGCCCGCUUCGUUUGCUCAAACGCCGCUCGCGUGCCCGUAAUUUAUAAAAACGGAUGUUUUUAUUAAUUUCCUGUUGCGUCUUGUAAUUCGUAACUUUCGAACGAAAUAUUAGUACCCUGGUAUCUGACGGCUAGAUACUACAAAUAUAAUUACCUACGUGACGCAAA